CCAGUACUCCAGGGAGGAACAGAGAGCAGCUCUGGGUGGAGAGGUCAUCCUUGCAGAGAUGCCUUCUGCAGGAGAGCUACUUGGAAAUGUGAGCUCCUUUACUACGUGACUACUUAGACCAAUAAAGGAGCUGUUUACUUUACACAUUAGUUUGCAGGCAGCCUCCUGCAAGGCUGCUGGUGGAGGCUGCCUUUGUCCAUGGCUGUUGCAUUGAGUGCACGAAAUUCGUUGUCUGUGUUCAAUCCUGUUUUGGAUUGUACACACUAGAGGGAGCCAUGGAAAAACCAAUCACCAGCCUGCUGCCAGGCUCCUGCCGUUCUCCCCAAAG
This is a long non-coding RNA of Passer montanus (Eurasian tree sparrow), 328 nucleotides long. RefSeq lists it as uncharacterized. Lineage: Eukaryota; Metazoa; Chordata; Aves; Passeriformes; Passeridae. The record is from RefSeq and is a predicted model, not a curated record. The transcript has 3 exons.